UACAGAGGGGGCAAGCGUUGUUCGGAAUUACUGGGCGUAAAGGGCGCGUAGGCGGCCUGUUAAGUCGAACGUGAAAUCCCCGGGCUCAACCCGGGAACUGCGUCCGAUACUGGCAGGCUUGAAUCCGGGAGAGGGAUGUGGAAUUCCAGGUGUAGCGGUGGAAUGCGUAGAGAUCGGGAAGAACACCAAUGGCGAAGGCAGUCGGCUGGGCCGUUGCUGACACUGAGGCGCGACAGCGUGGGGAGCAAACAGG
This 253-nucleotide ribosomal RNA is filed under the name uncultured bacterium. RNAcentral's name for it is "partial 16S ribosomal RNA". It matches the Rfam family "Bacterial small subunit ribosomal RNA", at positions 524 to 776 of the family's 1533-position model. The record is from RNAcentral.